RNAcentral lists this ribosomal RNA (253 nucleotides) under uncultured bacterium. RNAcentral describes it as "partial 16S ribosomal RNA". It matches the Rfam family "Bacterial small subunit ribosomal RNA", at positions 524 to 776 of the family's 1533-position model. The record is from RNAcentral.
UACGGGGGGGGUAAGCGUUGUUCGGAAUUACUGGGCGUAAAGGGCUCGUAGGCGGCCAACUAAGUCAGACGUGAAAUCCCUCAGCUUAACUGGGGAACUGCGUCUGAUACUGGAUGGCUUGGAUUCGGGAGAGGAAUGCGGAAUUCCAGGUGUAGCGGUGAAAUGCGUAGAGAUCGGCAGGAACACCAGUGGCGAAGGCGGCCACCUAGCCCGCACCUGACGCUGAGGCGCGACAGCGUGGGGAGCGAACUGG